UGUUUGAUUUCGAGUUCUCGGUUGCGCGGGUUCUACUUCAUCCCUGCCAAUCCACUUUUCGGCUGAAGAUCUGAUAUGUUUUUGGGUUUCGUUUCAGAUAACCCCUCAAUUCCCUUUCCUUUCCUUUCCAUCCGAUGGUUAAUUAUCCCCUGAAUCAUGUUUGCAGCCUUGAUCGGAAGAGAAUCUAGAUGCUACGAUAGAUUCUCUAUUGAAUCUGGUGAAGCAAAUCAGGCUUGCUGGUGAUGUGGCAAGAACGAAGAAAGCUGUUCUUGACAUAGUGGAUAUUGUGCUACAAAGCACGCGCAUGGAAGACUCUGAAUGAUCAAAUUGUUCUCCUGUCAAAGAGGAGAGGACUGCUUAAGUAGAUGGUUUCCUUUGUGAGAUAAUUCUCUUUUGAUUCGGUUGGGAGGAAGAUCAGCUGUUGGGGCGUCUAUCUGUUACAUCGUCGUCAAAGUGUGAAGACUUGUUGUUUCAUCUUUUUAUGAGAUAAUUCUCUUUGAUUCUGCCAAAGCUGAUGGCUGCUUGAAUCGAUUCAAUCUUGGGAAAAUUGCAGUGCAGGGAGAGGAGGUGAGGGAACCAAAUCUCGGCAAGGCACCUCGAACAUCGCCGGCACCCUACUACUACUUCCGUCUUUGACGACUAGCUUUUCGUUUAUGCAAUGCACCACACGAGUAGCUACAGGAAUCCAUCCAUCCAUCGCUGCUGCAACAAGUCCAACAUGGGUAGGCUACAGGAAUCCUCAACCUUCGUCACUACGACAAGUCUCACACCAGCGGUCUCCGAUAAGCGGAUGACACCAUGUUUACUUUCCGACAAGUACUUGAAGAGAGCCAAUUGUUGAAGCGGCCGGUCUUUUUGGCAGAAAUCAGGCGGUGCACGUACUUUUUGCAUGGAGAAGUGAGAUCUCUCUGGUCAUGCGAUACUGUAUGCACCCUACACUGCCACUAAGAAUGCGGUGAUCUUUUAGACGAGUGAGCAUUUUUAAUCUCAGAACCAAUCAGAGACAGUGAGGAGACAUUCGAACGAAUACGUACUGUUAUUACUAUA
Molecule: long non-coding RNA, 1047 nt
Organism: Musa acuminata AAA Group (dessert banana)
Lineage: Eukaryota; Viridiplantae; Streptophyta; Magnoliopsida; Zingiberales; Musaceae
Exons: 4
Source: RefSeq, a predicted model, not a curated record